AACCAGCCUUACUUUACAUUUUUGCUCGGUAGGUAUAUAGUAUUUGCGGAGCAGAGCUUCUCGGAAGCGAAAAAGGUUAUUUGAAGGGUUAGGGUUUUUUUUUUGAAGGGUUUUGAUCCAUUCUCUUUCAGAGCAACUCCAAUUUUAAGGUUUCGAUCUCUGCAACACUCUCCUCAUCUCUCUCUCUCGUUUCGGAGUCGGAUUCUAGAACUCUCAGCAGCAAGAAUGGGGUUCCAGAUGCAGCCGUACGGAGUACAAGCGAUGCUGAAAGAAGGCCACAAGCAUCCCUCUGGCGUCGACCAAGGGGUCCUUAAGAACAUUGAUGCUUGCAAGCAGCUCUCCACCAUCACCCGAACUUCGCUCAGACCAAACGGUAUGAAUAAGAUGGUCAUUAAUCAUUUGGACAAUCUUUGAUACAAAUGAUGCUGCAACUAUUGUGAAUGAACUUGAGGUACAGCAUCCUGCUGCCAAGAUUCUCGUGUAAGCAGGCAAAGCUCAACAGGAAGAAAUUGGUGAUGUAGCUAAUCUGACGAUAUCUUUUGCUGAGGUGCUUCUCCAAAAUGCGGAGGAGCUUAUUAGGAUGGGAUUGCAUCCAAGUGAAAUCAUUAGUGGCUACCCAAAAGCGAUCAAUAAGGUCCUUCAUUUCUUUGCUGAAUGACCUGUCAAACUGUAUUCUGAACCUUUUGCUCAUUAGGCAUUGUGCAUAUGCUGAUUUCUGCUCUGUUGAUGCCUAGACGGUCGAUAUUUUAGAUGAGUUGGUUGAAAAGGGCUCGGAAACAAUGGAUGUGCGGAACAAGGAUGAAGUUGUUUCCUGAAUGAAAGCUAUUGUGGCCAGUAAGCAGUUCGUACAAGAAGAUAUUUUGUGCCCUCUUAUUGCGGAUGCAUGCAUCCAGGUCUGCCCCAAGAACCCACUGAACUUUAAUGUAGAUAAUGCUCGUGUCGUAAAGCUUCUUGGAGGAGGUCUGCAUAACUGUUCAAUUGUUUGUGGCAUGGUCCUGAAAACUGAUGCUGUUGGAAGUAUAAAACAAAUGGAAAAUGCAAAGGUGUGCCUUUGGAAAACUAACUAUUGGUUCUUAUACCAAUACAAUAUUCUUAUACUAUAUUUGCUUCCUCACAUAUUUUCUGGUUGUAAAUAUCAUAGAGUAGAAAUACAUUCCACCCAGUGCGUUGUAUUUUUUCUGUCAA
Molecule: long non-coding RNA, 1185 nt
Organism: Magnolia sinica
Lineage: Eukaryota; Viridiplantae; Streptophyta; Magnoliopsida; Magnoliales; Magnoliaceae
Exons: 3
Source: RefSeq, a predicted model, not a curated record